CUGAGUUCUGGGUCUCCAAGACCCGACCUCCAACCCUUUGUUGUCCGACUCUGUUGCCUCGGGGGUGACCCUGACCUGCUCGCGGGUUUUGGGGCCCCCGGUGGACAUAUCAAACUCUGCUUUAAUUUGUCGUCUGAGUAAAUUGAUUAAAUCAAAUCA
RNAcentral lists this unclassified non-coding RNA (159 nucleotides) under uncultured fungus. Its description in RNAcentral is "sequence contains ITS1". The record is from RNAcentral. Lineage: Eukaryota; Fungi.